This 241-nucleotide ribosomal RNA is filed under the name uncultured bacterium. Its description in RNAcentral is "partial 16S ribosomal RNA". It matches the Rfam family "Bacterial small subunit ribosomal RNA", at positions 537 to 776 of the family's 1533-position model. The record is from RNAcentral.
AGCGUUGUUCGGAAUUACUGGGCGUAAAGCGCGCGUAGGCGGUUUUGCAAGCCAGAGGUGAAAUGCCUGAGCUCAACUUAGGAAUUGCCUUUGGGACUGCGAGGCUUUGAGGACGGGAGAGGUGAGUGGAAUUCCCAGUGUAGAGGUGAAAUUCGUAGAUAUUGGGAAGAACACCGGUGGCGAAGGCGGCUCACUGGCCCGUUUCUGACGCUGCAGCGCGAAAGCGUGGGGAUCAAACAGG